Molecule: small nucleolar RNA, 71 nt
Organism: Salmo trutta (river trout)
Lineage: Eukaryota; Metazoa; Chordata; Actinopteri; Salmoniformes; Salmonidae
Source: Ensembl
AACCUGUAAUGAUGAGAUUCUGCCAAAUUAUUUCUAUGAUUAUACCUCUACUAUUCCAUUUAUCUGAGGUU